Molecule: ribosomal RNA, 340 nt
Filed under: uncultured eukaryote
Lineage: Eukaryota
Description: SSU rRNA
Rfam family: Eukaryotic small subunit ribosomal RNA
Source: RNAcentral
CAAUAGCGUAUAUUAAAGUUGUUGCGGUUAAAAGCUCGUAGUUGGAUUUCUGCCGAGGACGACCGGUCCGCCCUCUGGGUGAGCAUCUGGCUCGGCCUGGGCAUCUUCUUGGAGAACGUAUCUGCACUUGACUGUGUGGUGCGGUAUUUCAGGACUUUUACUUUUGAGGAAAUUUAGAGUGUUUCAAGCAGGCAUACGCCUUGAAUACAUUAGCAUGGAAUAAUAAGAUAGGACCUCGGUUCUAUUUUGUUGGUUUCUAGAUUCUGAGGUAAUGAUUAAUAGGGAUAGUUGGGGCGAUUCGUGAUUUAACUGUCAGAGGUGAAAUUCUUGGAUUUGUUAA